GAAAUGCGAUAAGUAAUGUGAAUUGCAGAAUUCAGUGAAUCAUCGAAUCUUUGAACGCACCUUGCGCUCCUUGGUAUUCCUUGGAGCAUGCCUGUUUGAGUUUCAUGAAAUCUUCAAAGUAAAUCUUUUGUUAACUCAAUUGGUUUCUACUUUGGUAUUGGAGGUCUUUGCAGCUUCACACCUGCUCCUCUUUGUUCAUUAGCUGGAUCUCAGUGUUAUGCUUGGUUCCACUCGGCGUGAUAAGUUAUCUAUCGCUGAGGACACUGUAAAAGGUGGCCAAGGUAAAUGCAGAUGAACCGCUUCUAAUAGUCCAUUGACUUGGACAAUACUUUUAUGAUCUGAUCUCAAAUCAGGUAGGACUACCCGCUGAACUUAAGC
Molecule: unclassified non-coding RNA, 378 nt
Filed under: plant metagenome
Description: partial contains 5.8S ribosomal RNA, internal transcribed spacer 2, and large subunit ribosomal RNA
Rfam family: 5.8S ribosomal RNA (bases 1-105)
Source: RNAcentral